This 387-nucleotide ribosomal RNA is filed under the name uncultured bacterium. Its description in RNAcentral is "bacterial SSU rRNA". It matches the Rfam family "Bacterial small subunit ribosomal RNA", at positions 30 to 415 of the family's 1533-position model. The record is from RNAcentral.
AUUGAACGCUGGCGGCAGGCCUAACACAUGCAAGUCGAGCGGUAGAGAGGUGCUUGCAUCUCUUGAGAGCGGCGGACGGGUGAGUAAUGCCUAGGAAUCUGCCUAGUGGUGGGGGAUAACGUUCGGAAACGGACGCUAAUACCGCAUACGUCCUACGGGAGAAAGCGGGGGAUCUUCGGACCUCGCGCCAUUAGAUGAGCCUAGGUCGGAUUAGCUAGUUGGUGAGGUAAUGGCUCACCAAGGCGACGAUCCGUAACUGGUCUGAGAGGAUGAUCAGUCACACUGGAACUGAGACACGGUCCAGACUCUACGGGAGGCAGCAGUGGGGAAUAUUGGGACAAUAGGGCGAAAGCCUGAUCCAGCCAAUGCCGCGUGUGUGAAGAAGGU